UCGCCUGUUUAUCAAAAACAUCACCCCCCGUAUCUAUUAAAUGGGGGGCACUGCCUGCCCAGUGAAUUUAUUUUAAACGGCCGCGGUAACUUAACCGUGCAAAGGUAGCACAAUCACUAGCCCUCUAAAUAAGGGCCUGUAUGAAUGGCAACACGAGGGCUGAACUGUCUCCUCUUUAUCCUACGAAACUUCUUUGGCCGUGCAAAAGCGUCCGUAAAAGCGCCAGACGAGAAGACCCUGUCGAGCUUCAGGAGUAAAAAACCGACUAAAAGUUACAAUCGGCUGACUAAAAUUUACGUUUUUACUCUAACCACACACUGUAACUUAUUCUCCCCCUCUUUCUUACCCCUUUGGUUGGGGCAACCCCGGAGAAAACCCACCCUCUGAAUCAAACUACUUUUAACCGACAUUACGUCCUAAACAAGAACCUUAUGAUACACAUGACCCGAUUAACCCGAACAACAAACAAAGUUACCGCAGGGAUAACAGCGUAAUCCCUCCCAAGAGUCCCCAUUGCCGGAGGGGUUUGCGACCUCGAUGUUGGAUCAGGGUACCCCGAUGGUGUAACCGCUAUCAAAGGUUGGUCUGUUCGACCAUU
This 598-nucleotide ribosomal RNA is filed under the name Enteropneusta sp. extrawide-lipped. RNAcentral describes it as "partial 16S ribosomal RNA". It matches the Rfam family "Bacterial large subunit ribosomal RNA", at positions 1796 to 2589 of the family's 2925-position model. The record is from RNAcentral. Lineage: Eukaryota; Metazoa; Hemichordata; Enteropneusta.